This is a long non-coding RNA of Musa acuminata AAA Group (dessert banana), 823 nucleotides long. RefSeq lists it as uncharacterized. The record is from RefSeq and is a predicted model, not a curated record. Lineage: Eukaryota; Viridiplantae; Streptophyta; Magnoliopsida; Zingiberales; Musaceae. The transcript is spliced from 3 exons.
AUGACUCGUUUUACAUUUUAUGGUUUCAGAUUCACCUUGAAGUUACUUGUUCCACUGCAUCACUGCUCUACAAUUUCCACCUUCAUAUACUGUACACACCAGGGAAUCCCCUAAUGCAGGUCAGGGAUAGUGCUCUAUUUGUGCUAGAAUUGGAGUCUUAAAGAGGUACUGUGACUCGAUGGUAUUUGUUUCUAUGCUAAAACACUAGUGGAUUGUGUGUUUUUGUAAAGAUUCAUGAGUUAGAAUGAUAGCAUUUUUAAUAUAGUUGUAAAAAGCAGUGGAGAUGGUGCUUUCAAAUGGUGUCAUUGUAGUUAUUUAUUGGAUUUUUGUGUUUGAUGCAUGAACUAAAUGGUGUGUACCAAAUGAUGUAUAAGCUAGUUUUGUACCAAAUGAGAACUUGGCAAAAUAUUAAACUGUGUAGGUCUUGUUUCCUCACUCAUCAUCCACUUCACUUUAUAUGCCAAAGGAAACACUUGUUAUGAGUCCAAAUAUUAGCAGGUAAAUAGUAUAAACUAUACAGUUCAUUUAAGCCAAUAUGCAGAUUGAAUAGAGAGCGAGAGAUUAAAGAGAAGAGGAAUCAUCCCAAAAGGCUAUCACACUUUAUGCCAUGUAGAUAGAUCCUUGGUAUUUGGAGGCAAGGCGAAUAUUCAUGUUAUGUUACUUAUCCAAUGAUGUCAGAGCCAUGUGUAGAUGGUUUGGAACAUCAUGCACAGAACAAAUACAUCAACAUCGAUCGAUACGAUACGACAACAAAUCAAAACUCAAGUGUAGAUGGUUUGGAACAUCAGAAGCUAUGCACAAGCGUUUUACACAAUACUUAUUC